This 279-nucleotide ribosomal RNA is filed under the name uncultured bacterium. RNAcentral describes it as "partial 16S ribosomal RNA". It matches the Rfam family "Bacterial small subunit ribosomal RNA", at positions 506 to 784 of the family's 1533-position model. The record is from RNAcentral.
UGCCAGCAGCCGCGGUAAUACGGAGGGUGCAAGCGUUAUCCGGAAUCAUUGGGUUUAAAGGGUCCGUAGGCGGACUGAUAAGUCAGGGGUGAAAUCCAACAGCUUAACUGUUGAACUGCCCUUGAUACUGUUAGUCUUGAAUUAUAUGGAAGUAGAUAGAAUGUGUAGUGUAGCGGUGAAAUGCUUAGAGAUUACACAGAAUACCGAUUGCGAAGGCAGUCUACUACGUAUAUAUUGACGCUAAUGGACGGAAGCGUGGGGAGCGAACAGGAUUAGAUA